UCUGUUUAUCAAAUGUCUAAUUAUAAGAAAUAACAUAUUGUUCGUAAUAUUAGAAUCUAAACAUUAGAAGUGUCACUAGAAGUGAAGCAGAGACACUCUUAUUUGUAGAUAUUUGUCUGCAGUUUGAAAUGCCACCAAGGGUGAGUCCGGCAAAUGAUGCCAUCCAUCAUGUUCUCUCAAAGAUGGAUAAAACUUUAAAACUGGAGGUGAAAUACAUAAAUGCAGAGAAAGGAAAGACAUUGUGAGAUGUGGUAUUUUGCGUUUUAAUAUCUCCAAGUAAUUGAGAAUUUGAGUAGAUGAUAUUUCCUGUUCCACUAAAAAUAUCUGUUUUUAAACGACGAGGAGUAUUUGCCAGAAAGACAUUCUGCUGCGGAGAAUUUGUAGUGGAAUACAAAGGUGAUAUGAUCGAUGAUGCUGAAGCCCAAAGAAGACGAAAGAUUUUCCACCCAUCAUGCACUGCCUUUUUUUUGCAGUGGAGAGGAAAAUUAUGGUGCAUUGACGCCUCAAGAGAAGACGAUUCAUUGGGGCGACUAGUUAAUGAUCAACACAAAGGCCCAAACUGCAGGAUGAAAAAGAUCGAUGUAGGAAGCCGAACUUGUGUCUUUUCGCUGCAGUUGAUUUUAAUAUUUCUUCUCUCACGUUUGGUUUCUCUUACCAUGUUUCCAAAUUCAUAAGUUUAUCUUUAGUGAAUCACUUAGACUAACUACUUAUUACACAGUGCUACCUAAAUUAUCAAUUUUGGUUCAUGGAUUGAAAAGAUUUCCAUCUGAUAUAUUUGGAGGCAAGCACACAUGCUGGACAUGACCCUUUUGUGGAUGGUGCCCAUGCUGAAGUCCCUUCAGGACCACAGGUGGAUGAUGACAACCAUGACAUCACGUCUAAUGAACAGAUUGUGACAGAUGUCGGAAAUUAAGAUGGGACUUUUGUCGGACAAAAAGUAUCAUAAUGGAAAAGACAGAUUUCGAAGACCCUGAUGAAUUAUAUGAUUCUACAUCAGAUAGUGGAGAUGAUUAUGUGCCAGAUUCCACCUCUAAAAAGUGAUGACAGUGAUUUCAACCUCACAUCAGUCAUUGGGACAAAACUGUGGCCCCUGACUGAAUUAUGUCAUGACUCUGAAUCGAUGUGUCCUCCAGUGUGUGACACCACGACACCACACCUUGAAAGCUUGAGAUACAACAGCAGUACAUCUGACAUCAGUGUGAGUGAAGAACCCUGUUCAAGUCAGGAUGCAAUUGACACCAUAGUUGUGCAAGCUUCCCAAAAGUGAAAUGGCAACAGAGUGUACAACAAGACACAGUAUUGCUUGUAUUGCAAGAAGGCCUAUGCAAAGAUGGCAAGACAUCUAGAACAUGCACAUCAUAAUAAACUGGAUGUGGCUAAAGCUCUUAGUUUACCAAAAGGUUCCUUGGAGAGAAAGAAACAGUUAGAGUAUAUUCGCAACAGAGGCAACUAUGCCCACAACGCUGCUGUUAUAGAGUCAGGGAAAGGGGAGUUGGUUCCAUUCAAACGGCCAACUAAAGAUGCACAGGGGAAGGAUUUCAUGCACUGUGCAUACUGCCAAGCACUUUUUACACAAAGUCCUGUGGUGACACAUGCGAACUUCAGCCUGCAUCCAUACCUGUCAAACCAGGAAAGAAUCGUGUUCAGUCCAUGUGCACAUUCAUGCAACCUGUGCCUUCGCACGUUGGUAAACAGAUGUGGGGAGUUAUCAGUGCCAUGAUUCCUAAUCCGAUCACCGAUGUUGUGAAAAAUGAUAAUGUCAUCAUCCAUGUUGGACAGCACCUAUUGAACAAGGGUGGGAUGUCGGCCAAGAAUCAACAGUGUGUGUGUGAAAAGAUGCGAGAAAUGGGAAGACUGAUUCUUAAUGCCAGAAGAGUUACCUCCUUAAAAACAAUGGCGGAUUUCGUAAUUCCAAAGAAUUACUUGCAGGUGAUCAAAGCUGGCAAGGUGACUUGUGGCUAUGACAGUGAUUCUAACAAAUUCGCGAUUCCAUCACUUGCCAAUGAACUUGGCCAUACAUGCCGUUGACGGAAGAUGUUCAGAAACUGCGUAAGUUUCUCAGUCAAAAGCAAGAUAAGUGCAUCAGUGAACUCUCCGACAGUACUUCCAAAAAGACUUGGAUAGGCAAAGGUGUGCUUAGCACAGAUCAUCCUCUUUAACUGUCGCAGGGAAGGAGAGGUGGCAAGCAUGCCCUUGUCUGCAUUUUUGUCAAGGGACAAGUCCGAUCCUCACCAGGAUUUGGACUGGGCACUCUCUGAAGUAGAGAAAAGACUCUGCAGACAUUUCACAAGGAUUGUGAUCUGGGGAAAAGAGGUAGACCGGUUCCAAUUUUCGUGACUCAGAAAAUGCUGAAUGCACUGGAACUCCUGGUUUUAGAGGGAAAGGCUUGUGGGUUUCUCGAAGAGAAUGGCUACAUGUUUGCAAGACCAGCAGCUAAAAUGCAUUUCCGUGGUUCGGAUUGCCUCCGUGCUUUUUCAGGAGCAUGUGGUGCAACCUUGUCCCAAGGCACUGACUUCCACCAGGCUACGGAAACAUGCUGCAACACUCUCAACAGUCCUCAACAUGACAGACACAGAGAUGGACCAGUUGGCCAACUUUCAUGGGCAUGACUCUAGAGUCCAUCGUGAGUUCUAUCGACUACCUGAGAAAGCACUGCAGCUUGCCAAGGUCAGCAAACUUCUAAUGGCCCUCGAGCAAGGAAGCCUGGCUGAGUUCCAUUGCAAAAACCUGGAUGAAAUCACCAUAGGUCCAGAUGGUAUGUUGUCGUUUCUUUUGUCCACCAUGAUUCUAUUUUAGUUUGCUCUUCUUUUUGUAUGUCUCCCACAGACACAGUUCUUUGUCAUGAUGAGACGGAUGAGACGGAUGAGACCAGAGAAGGACACUAUUCAUCUCAAGAGCGUUUGGCAGAAGAGACUCUUCCACCUACAGAGGAAAAUGACAUCCCACCACUACACAAGAGACACAAACUAUCAUCAGUAGAGGAUGACAGAGUUGGAGCUGUGACACCUGUUGAAGGUUUCUUGCAGUAACAGAUGAACAUCUCAAACAUGUCCUUCUCUUCAUCAGAACACAGCUGCCCACCUCACAUAUGGCUGUGUUACAUGCCCAGCAGGGGCAUUGUGUUAGUUUUUCUUGUCCUCUUCUCUCCUCUCUCCCUCCCUAUCCUUCCACCAGGUGCUGAUCAUCAUGAGCUGCACCUGGGAGGACAUGAGGCCACCGCCUUGACUUCUGCCAUGGCCAAUCAUCUGACGGGAGGCUCAAUAAAGGGGAGCCUGUUGAGCUCUCACUCUCUCAACUUGUUUACACUCGAUGCAAUUGCUUUGGCACUCCACCUCCCUCCUUUCCUCCCCCCACCUUGUGUAAACCAGGCUGUGUUUAAGUAUUCAUUAUUAAUUAUAAUUUCUUUAAACCGUCUUUGUCUCAUUUAAAUAUUUGGUUUGUCGUGUUGCUGUCUUGUUUGUCUAACAAACAAAUUAAGAAUGUAACACAAAUGGGGGCUCGUCCGGGAUACUGUGUUCUCUGAGCUAAAAGACAAUCCAGAGGUUUGAUGAGUCAUUGUUUUGUUACCAUAUUUAACUAUGGGUUUUGAGUUGAGGGAGUUGAUUGAAAAUCCAAGCUUUGAUAAACUAGAGUUAUGUCGCAAGGAUGAUUUACUGGCUAUUGCAGCGCACUUUAAUAUUCCAGUGCAAAAAUAUGGUGUAAAAAGGGAGAUUAAAAACAAAGUAUUGAAGUUACUUGAGUUGAAUGUUCUCUCAAUGUCUGUGUCACUUGGUGAUCAUCCUUCUGCUGAAGGGGGUUUCUUUCCGAAAGGUGACCAAGUUGAGUCAGUUACACUGGCUACACCUCCAGCUGAAACGGCUGACGGUGGGCCUGCUCCUACUACUUUGCCUCGUUUUGUGCCUUUCUCCCCAGAGUCGCAUGGGUCCAGUAUGGAUGUUAAAAUCAAGAUACGCCUUGCUCGUCUUCAGCUGGAGGCACAGGAAAAGGAAAAUGUGCGUAAGGCAGAGUAUGACCUCCGAUUACAGGUACGAAAGCUUGAAAUAGAAGCUGAGAAGGAAGUUAAGUUACGGCAGCUUGACGUAGAGGCCCAAAGAAUAUCUUCUAGCCAAAUAUUACCACAAUCAGAAACGUUUACACAGGCAACCCAUAUUAAGCAAGUUUUUAAUGUUGGUAAAAAUGUAGCUUUGGUGCCAACAUUUAGGGAGUCAGAGGUUGACUCUCAUUUCAACGCAUUUGAGAGAAUUGCUACUGCAUUAGAUUGGCCUAAAGACAUGUGGCCCAUCUUGCUUCACUGCAAGCUGGUAGGCAAAGCGCAAGAAGUGGU
This is a long non-coding RNA of Solea solea (common sole), 4324 nucleotides long. RefSeq lists it as uncharacterized. Lineage: Eukaryota; Metazoa; Chordata; Actinopteri; Pleuronectiformes; Soleidae. The transcript has 5 exons. The record is from RefSeq and is a predicted model, not a curated record.